This is a long non-coding RNA of Orcinus orca (killer whale), 1580 nucleotides long. RefSeq lists it as uncharacterized. NCBI's taxonomy places the organism in Eukaryota, Metazoa, Chordata, Mammalia, Artiodactyla, Delphinidae. The transcript is spliced from 6 exons. The record is from RefSeq and is a predicted model, not a curated record.
AGUUGACACCUAAGUUAACAGUAUUGUGACCAGCAGAAUAAUGACCCCCCAGGAUGUCCCUGAUGCAAUUUGCGGAACUUAGGACUCUCACCCUGUUUCCUGCACAGGACCCAGUAUGGUUCUUAUUUGAAUUACGGCAAAUUUGAAGACAUUGGUGGUCAUGCAGAUUUCCCAAGAGGCAAGGGGGCCUGGCCACUCCAUGCAGGACCCCAGGACUGGGAUGCCCAUAUUGUGACUCGACCUGCUCACUCCCCAGGGCAAGGGUCUACCCUUGUGGACCUUCUCCUUGCAGAUCCCACCAAGGAGCCCAGGAGCUGACCCAGGAAACCCCCGAACACCUGACUGGCCUCAGGAUCCCUUUACUGAAAGCUGCUUCAGAGGCAGACCCCAUAUGUCCUCUGACCUCGAGAAUCAACUGAACUGCAUUUCUCCCCACUCCUGACCUGGCAUAAAGGAGACAGAAUUGGAAUAAGGAGGGAAGAUGAUGACAAACACAGGUGGCGGACCUGGAAGGACCCCCAUUUCCUGUCCCAUUCCCUGGCUGGGGGCACCCACACUGGCUGAAGAUAAACUGUUCCAUGCUCUCCUUCUGCUGGUUGGCGGUCUUCAGAUGCUCAGCUGUGCUCUGAAGGAGACUCUCCUGUUUGGAUAGUUUGGUUCUCAGUUCCAGAAGCUCCCUUUUCAUGGACUCUCCCUGGGAAGAAAAACAGGCUCUGUCAACGGUCAGAAGGCCUAAAGCACCCUGUGUUCGGUGGCUCUUUACAGCUCCAGAUAGGAUUCUACAAUCUUCUCAAGUAGUUUUGGAGCAGAUUUCCCUCAUUAAAGCCUUCAAUCCCUCCAGCAGGUGGUGGUGGCUCAGGAUGCGCCAUGAGGUGGGAACACUGAGGACCUGGAAGCCCGGUGCAGAUUAGCAGAGGCUACACUCCUGUUGCUGCAGAGAACCUGACUCCAGGCCACACUGAAGCUCCCAGCUGUGAACAAGAGCUCAGAUUUCAUGCUGACGUAGUUAUAUCACUUGGGCAUCACAAGUCACCAACCAGAAAGCAGUCUGAGAUCUGAGAGCACCAUGGGGAGGCUGACUCUCCCCAGGCCUGACCCUGUGAUGCAGAUGUAAGUGAUUUUCUGGAAUUCCAGGGGGUGGCUACAAGAGGCUGGGUGACUCCUGGUGACAUUCUGUGAUCCUGCCUAUGUGGACCUGGAGGUGGGGGUGGGCUAGGAAGGGAAAGGAGAUGUUGAUGUUUUAACAUGGUCCUGAACUUCAGCGCAGCCAAACUUCAGAAAGUUAAAGAAACGGAACAUUUAGGGGUUACCAGGGCUCUCGUGUCUCUGCCUCCUCCAUGUCCUUUCCUUCUGCUCUUUGAUUACUUAUCCUGGGGGGUCAGGGCUGGGGGGAGAGGGGAUGGAGUCAGAGCUGCACUGAAAGCAGCCACCGCGGAGGAGAGGUCUCCCUCCAGGGACGCCCCCUCAGGUCCCCUUGGUUCCAGCUACCCAUUCGGCUCCUGACCUUCAGGAUCUGCUGACCAAGGAGGCAGAAGGAUAUUUGGGGGCAGAACCAGUAGGGGAUGCUGGCUUCUUACCGC